Molecule: ribosomal RNA, 468 nt
Filed under: uncultured bacterium
Lineage: Bacteria
Description: partial 16S ribosomal RNA
Rfam family: Bacterial small subunit ribosomal RNA
Source: RNAcentral
GACGAACGCUGGCGGCGUGCUUAACACAUGCAAGUCGAACGGAAAGGCUCCAGCUUGCUGGAGUACUCGAGUGGCGAACGGGUGAGUAACACGUGGGUGAACUGCCCUGCACUUCGGGAUAAGCCUGGGAAAAUGGGUAUAAUACCGGAUAGGACCGCAUUUUGGUGUGUGUGGUGGAAAGGUUUUUCUGGUGUGGGGUGCGUUAGCGGACUAUCUGUUUGUUGGGGGGGUAAUGGCCUACCAAGACGGCGACGGGCUGCUGGGCAGUGAGGGUGGACGGUCGCAUUGGGUCUGAGGGACGGCCCAGGCGCCGACUGGUGGCAGAAGGGGGGAAGAUUGCACAAUGGGUGAAACCCGGGUGCAGCGGCGCCGCGGGGUGUAAGAAGGCCUUCUGGUUGUAGACACCGUUCGCUAGAAACGAAGCUUUUUGUGACGGUACCUGGAGAAGAAGCACCGGCUAACUACGUG